CUACGGGAGGCAGCAGUGGGGAAUAUUGGACAAUGGGCGAAAGCCUGAUCCAGCAAUGCCGCGUGAGUGAUGAAGGCCUUAGGGUUGUAAAGCUCUUUCGGCGGGGACGAUGAUGACGGUACCCGCAGAAGAAGCCCCGGCUAACUUCGUGCCAGCAGCCGCGGUAAUACGAAGGGGGCUAGCGUUGUUCGGAAUUACUGGGCGUAAAGCGCACGCAGGCGGCUCGUUAAAUUAGAAGUGAAAGCCCUGGGCUCAACCCGGGAAUUGCUUUUAAGACUGGCGAGCUUGAAUCCGGAAGAGGGCAGUGGAAUUCCAAGUGUAGAGGUGAAAUUCGUAGAUAUUUGGAAGAACACCAGUGGCGAAGGCGACUGCCUGGUCCGGCAUUGACGCUCAUGUGCGAAAGCGUGGGGAGCAAACAGGAUUAGAUACCCCGGUAGUCCC
Molecule: ribosomal RNA, 441 nt
Filed under: uncultured bacterium
Lineage: Bacteria
Description: bacterial SSU rRNA
Rfam family: Bacterial small subunit ribosomal RNA
Source: RNAcentral